Molecule: small nuclear RNA, 100 nt
Organism: Sceloporus undulatus (fence lizard)
Lineage: Eukaryota; Metazoa; Chordata; Lepidosauria; Squamata; Phrynosomatidae
Product: U12 minor spliceosomal RNA
Exons: 1
Source: RefSeq, a predicted model, not a curated record
AUGCCUUAAACUUAUGAGUAAGGAAAAUAACAAUCCGGGGUGAUGCCCAGGGCCUCACUUCCAAUGUGAGAGGAAUUUUUGAGCGGGUACAGAUCGCCCC